GCGAGGGUGGCGGAAUUGGCAGACGCGCCAGGUUUAGGUCCUGGUGUCUUUGGACGUGCAGGUUCGAGUCCUGUCCCUCGCA
This 82-nucleotide transfer RNA is filed under the name Phycisphaerae bacterium. RNAcentral's name for it is "tRNA-Leu". It matches the Rfam family "tRNA". From Rfam's summary of the family: Transfer RNA (tRNA) molecules are approximately 80 nucleotides in length. The record is from RNAcentral. Lineage: Bacteria; Pseudomonadati; Planctomycetota; Phycisphaerae.